ACUGGAAGAAUCAUCCUUAGUUGUUCACAGGAGGCAGCCGUCUUAAUUGAGUCACUAAGAUUUAGCAUCAGUUCCAUAAGCAUAACAACUUAAAACUCACCAAGAAGAGAAUGCUAGCUAAGGACUUAGAAUCCGCACGUCUUGUCUCAGAGGAAACAAUGUGAUGGAACUAAUUAUUAGAAGGAAGACAGGCAUGAGGUUAAAAGCAUGCAGUCUCCCAUUUUUGACGCACCCAGAACAAAGAGACCAGGCAAUGAAGCAUCUGACUGGCUUGGACUGUGCCUGUUUACCAAAUUCCAGACCAUUCCUCAUUCCCACCCAGCCCACCAGGCACAGACAAUCCUAAAAGGGGGUGAUCAGCCUCAGGCUCAUGGUUUAAGCCCGAAGCUCUGGUUCCAGGCUCAGAGCUAGAAAACUGUAGCUCCCACCUCAUUCCCUCUCCCUCAACACAGCCCCUCGCUCCUCCCUGGGUCUCAGCGAGGCAGAGGGUCAGGAAGUGGGGUAAAUCUCCAGAUGAUCCUCAUUUCAAGGACAGCCGCCUGUCAGCCUGUGGCUCAACUUGGAAUCAACAGCCUAAGACACCUAGAUUUUCUUCACUGGCCCCUCUCUUUAAAGAUAGCCCAGUAUGAGAAGAAAAUGAGAACCGUCUGCUAAAUUGCACAGGGUGCCCAGGACACUGCCAGUGGAAUGUGGUCAUGUGUACCAGCCAAAAAUACAAAACGUAUCUUCAGUCAUUAGUAGGAGCAAAACCAUCCAGAUGUACUCUCGGUUUCAGUGAACUUAGGCUGGAGGUUGGGGUGUACUCACAGACUAAAACGAUGCUCUCCAGAAGCAAAACACUUGACCAAGCAUGCGCCAAAGGGACUGCGGAAUUGGCCAAAAGUGGGACUCAGAAGCCAGUCCGUCAUCCAGCUGGGCGAGCACGAAGUCACAAGUGCAAAAAGCUAAACGACUCAAGAACAGUCCCCACCCCGCCCCGGGCGCCCACCUACCUGAGGCUUGUCCGAAGGAAGGUUGGGAUGCACACUUCGGUAGCCCUUGGCAACGAGUGGAGAGGGCUGGGCGUUUCCAUUGGCAUCAGCAUUGGAAGGAAGCCUCCACUCAUCUGAGAGAUGAAAAAAAGAAGAAACCCCUCACUCACAGGAACACUCCCUGGUUCUCCUCUUAAUUGAAGGGUUCCCCUCUAAUUGAAGGGUUCCUGGUGGAAGGGCAGGGACAGAAAGGAUGCAAGAGAAAUCAUACCUGCUGAGGAAUUCUCUGACUCCAGAACUACAUGUGGCGCACAAAGGAUGAAAACAAGAAGGGGGGAAAACAGAAAUGGUUACGUUUGCAGGAAACAAGCACGUACUGCACAGAAAGACGAAACUCCAGCACUCCGUUGCCUGACACAAAAUGCCCUCAGUCACGAUGGUCUAAUUACCAUAGGAACCCACUCUAAACCAUGAUGUGCUCACAGGCGCUGACCUUUGAAAACACAAGGCUCACAUUCACAGUAAUGAAGAAACAAUUGUUCUUGACAUUCUUAUUUUACAGACAAAAAGGCCACAGCACUCUCCUGUCCAGUCCUGACUCACUAACUUGCAUUCCCCUUUUAUAAGCCUGACGUGGGCCCAGAAUGACCUCUCCUCAUCAGCAGCCUGGGCUAAUUAACAGACCCGGAGAGGGAGACAUCGAUAAGCACUUUUUCCAUGGCUGUUGGUGCUGCGCAAAGGCGAGAACAUGAUUUAAGCCCCAAGGUAUCUGCUGUGAUAAGGGCUUUUUUUCCUCCCUGCCUGCCUUUCUUCUUUCCAUUAAACGAGCUACAUAAAGAUUUCAAAAGCUAAUCACCCUGAGUUUUCAUCAUACUACAAGGCACCCUUGUCCCCCUUCAGCCAGCUACCACCCUGCCCUCCAUCUAUUGCCUGGAGCAGCUCAGAGACCCUAAACCUCUCCUAACCUGACCAGCACCACGAGGCAGGACGGCGCAGUGGUCACAAGCUUGGCUGGGAAGGCAGCUGGACCUCAAUUCAAAUCCUGGCUCCUCCACCUAUGGGCUCUGUGGCCCUGGGCAAGUUAUAAGCCUCAGUUUUCCCAUAUAAAAAAUGGGGGUAACGAUAUGCCUGCUUCAUACGUGUUGUUUUAAGAAUUAAAAGAUAUAAUGCAUGAGAGAUGCUUAGAACAGUGCCUGGCAGAGCUCAGCAACGUUUGUUAUUUACCACCAUCUUCUGCAUCAUCUCUUGUCUCUGUUCUCUAUCUUCCAUGUAGCCCAGGGGUUAGCAAACCUUUUCUGUAAAGGGCCAGUUAGCAAAUACUUUAGGCUUUGACGGCCAUAUGGGCUCAGUCACAACUAUUCAACUCUGCUGUUGUAGCACAAAAGCAGCCGCAAACAAUAUCAAGUGAACGAAGGUGGCUGUGUUCCAAUAAACCUUUAUUUGUGGAAACUGGA
Long non-coding RNA from Lagenorhynchus albirostris (white-beaked dolphin), 2425 nucleotides. RefSeq lists it as uncharacterized. The transcript is spliced from 4 exons. The record is from RefSeq and is a predicted model, not a curated record. NCBI's taxonomy places the organism in Eukaryota, Metazoa, Chordata, Mammalia, Artiodactyla, Delphinidae.